GGGGUAGAAACAGGAAGCUGCUGACCACAGGAGGGAGAGAGGGCACAGGGCUGACCACAGGAUCACAGGCAGCAGGAAGGGACAGACCAGGGUCACCAGAGAGAGGUGUUUUGCUUGUAUAUAUGUCUCUGUACCACACGUGUGCCUAGUGCCCUCCGUGGCUGGAAGAAGGCAUCAGAUCCCCUGGAACUGUUAGAGAUAGUUGUGAAAUGCCAUCUGAGUGCUGGGAAUUGGACCUAGAUCCUCUGGAAAAGCAGCCUGUGCUCUAAACCACUGAGCUAUCUUUCCAGACCUGAAAAUGUGGGUUUUCAGGCCACAAGCAGUACAGUGAUGUGGGACAAGCAGACCUGGGAAGAGGAGGAAAGAAAAGAAUGUCUGGAGAGAUGGAUGCCAGUGGGGGAGACCCUGGCACCCAGAAGGCUACAGAGCAAGAACAUCUCAGCCUUGAAGUGUCCUGUCCUGGGGAUGCAGCCACCUACUGCAGCUGGCCUAGCCAGACAAGACUCCCCUGGAGUACUGGGCCACUAAGAUUCCAGAUGUGGGACCUGCUCUCUAUCCUCAGAUAAUAAUGAAUAAAUGGCUCUGAGAGGUCCUCACAAAAUGAAAAUGAGGGAAAAGAAGAUUAGAGACAUGAAGAGGGGGGGUACAAAAUGGAUCUCUAAUCCUGCACCCUCCCUGGCCCACUGAAGCCCCAAGCACAAUGCACUCGACCUCAGGUGGGCUCUGUGUCUUGGUUUCUUGACUCUGGAAACCUUCUCAGGUUUGUUCAGUCACCAAUACCUUACAUGGCAGCGAUACCAGGGCCCUUAAGAAGAGCUAGCUCCUGGUUUAUUGAGAAAACAGACCUGAGCCCUGUGAUAAGGCAGUGGGUAGCCUUGGCAAGGAGCUUGGGGCUGCAGAGGACCCCCCUGGCCACAGUCAGAGAGGAGUACAGCCCCAGCCUGGACUCCCGUCCCCACCUUUGUCUCCACCUCCCCCCACCCGCCACAGUCAGGGAGGAGAGCACAUGUACAGCCCCAGCCUGGACUCCCGUUCCCACCUUUGUCUCCAAGAUGCUAACCAUCUACAGAACUUGGCUUCCUCAGAGGUAAAAUAGGGUCUGGGAAAGACAGGGGGACAGGGAGGAAAUUAAUCUUAGCCCCAAAUUGGUCCCCAGCAAUGUUAGGGACUAAGCAGCCUUCCAGUCUGCCAAGUUAUUGCAAUGGGGAAUAUCUAGGGUAGGGCUGAGUUUGAAUCUGCAAAAAAUCACCCUGUGCUCAAGGAUCUCACUCAAAGAAAUAAAAUUGCAGUGUCCCCAUAAGUCUAAGAAAUGUCUGGUCCCCGGGACUGGAGAGAUGGCUCAGCGGUUAA
Long non-coding RNA from Mastomys coucha (southern multimammate mouse), 1350 nucleotides. RefSeq lists it as uncharacterized. The transcript has 3 exons. The record is from RefSeq and is a predicted model, not a curated record. Lineage: Eukaryota; Metazoa; Chordata; Mammalia; Rodentia; Muridae.